ACCUUCGUGGUGUAACGGUUAACACACUCGGUACGUAUUCGAGAGGUACAGGUUCGAGUCCCGGAGAGGGUA
RNAcentral lists this transfer RNA (72 nucleotides) under Stegodyphus mimosarum. It matches the Rfam family "tRNA". From Rfam's summary of the family: Transfer RNA (tRNA) molecules are approximately 80 nucleotides in length. Their secondary structure includes four short double-helical elements and three loops (D, anti-codon, and T loops). Lineage: Eukaryota; Metazoa; Arthropoda; Arachnida; Araneae; Eresidae. The record is from Rfam by way of RNAcentral.